CAGCGGGGAAAGAAGACCCUGUUGAGCUUGACUCUAGUUUGACAUUGUGAAAAGACAUAGGGGGUGUAGAAUAGGUGGGAGCUUCGGCGCCGGUGAAAUACCACUACCCUUAUCGUUUUUUUACUUAAUCAAUGAAGCGGAACUGGUCUUCACCGACCAUAUUCUGGCGUUAAGGUCCCUCGCGGGCCGAUCCGGGUUGAUGACAUUGUCAGGUGGGGAGUUUGGCUGGGGCGGCACAUCUGUUAAACCAUAACGCAGGUGUCCUAAGGGGAGCUCAUGGAGAACAGAAAUCUCCAGUAGAGCAAAAGGGCAAAAGCUCCCUUGAUUUUGAUUUUCAGUGUG
Molecule: non-coding RNA, 342 nt
Filed under: Cryoendolithus antarcticus
Lineage: Eukaryota; Fungi; Ascomycota; Dothideomycetes; Cladosporiales; Cladosporiaceae
Description: Rachicladosporium antarcticum Archaeal large subunit ribosomal RNA
Rfam family: Eukaryotic large subunit ribosomal RNA
Source: Rfam by way of RNAcentral